UACGUAGGCGGCGAGCGUUAUGCGGAUUCAUUGGGUUUAAAGGGUGCGUAGGCGUCCCGGAAAGUUUCAGGUGAAAUGCUCAAGCUUAACUUGAGAGCUGCCUGAAAAACUGUCGGGAUUGAGUGCUAGCGAGGCAGGCGGAAGUGACGGUGUAGCGGUGAAAUGCAUAGAUAUCGUCAAGAACACCGAUAGUGUAGACAGCUUUCCAGGGAGCAACUGACGCUGAGGCACGAAAGUGUGGGGAUCAAACAGG
This 253-nucleotide ribosomal RNA is filed under the name uncultured bacterium. RNAcentral's name for it is "partial 16S ribosomal RNA". It matches the Rfam family "Bacterial small subunit ribosomal RNA", at positions 524 to 776 of the family's 1533-position model. The record is from RNAcentral.